UCUUUUCAUUAUUGCAGUUUGCAUGUUGAUCAGGUUUUUUUUUUUUUUGAUGUUUAAAUGAUUUAAGAUCUGGGAUCAGAGAGGAUUGUUGACAAAAGCUAAAUUGUUUCUAAUAUGCAUUAAUGAGUGCUUAAGAUUGUCUGCUGCUUUUCAUGAUCCAUAAUAAAGUACUUUACGUUUAGCAAUGGCCCAGACAUUGGUAGCAAAGGAUUUGCAGCAGUUUAAGGUGAUAAAGGCUGUAGUUGUAGCCAUACUAAGUAUUGGAAGUGAGGCCAGUAACAAGUUUAGAAUAGGAAAGAUACAGGAUCAGGGGAUAAUAAAAAAAAAGAAAGUGAAAUUGUUGGAGCCGAUAUUAAGAGUUUGUAAAAAAGAUUUGUUUGAUCCAGAUGUUAUACCUGUUCUUAUACUGAGAUGUUAUGAAAAGAGAACGAUUCGAGCAGGAUGGAAAGGUACCCUAUACCUUGGAUGUGAAGGAAACAACUCAGCAGUAAGAGAUCCAUGAAUGUUUUUUUUUUUUGCACAGAUUCAGUUUCAAACUCAACUUAAAAAAAAUUUCUCUCUUGACUGACCUGAAAAGGAUAAAUUUGGUUUCUUGUCCUCAUUCUCUCUCUUUAAUAUCUCACCCAGGAAAAGCUGGCAUUUUGAUAUUUCAGUUAAGUACCUCUAUAUUGCUGUUUUUGCACAUUUUUAGUUUUGAUUAAAAAAAAAACAACUGCUGUUUUAACCUAAAUGUGUUAAUCCGUAGGAGGAAAACACUUAGUCGGUCCCUCAGCAGCACCGGAGCAGCAGGUUGUCAGUGGUUCCCAACACAGCAGUGGAGAGGCUACACGUGGACCAUGCAUGCUGCAAAGUUGGAUGGGUGGUGGGCUCCUCCACUUGACUGAUGGCUGUCUAUUGAUUCACAGUGAGACAGAAGAAGAUGGAGGCUAGUAAGUCAGUAAGUGCUCCCUUUCCCUGUUGUCAUGAAUAAUGGAAAGGUGGCAGCAGCAGCAGCAGCAGCAGCAGCAGCAGCAGCAGCAGCAGCAGCAGCAGGAGAGGAUCCGCGUGAUAGCAGGCACUGGUGCUGUUCUCACUGUAUAACAGAUUGACAAGUAGAGUCCUGUCUUAAUGCAACUCUAGUGAGUUUCUUCUGUCUGGGAUUGUGGGAAGACACAUGGAAGACCUUGUGAUGUUUAUGGCUGUAAGGCAAGUGUACAAACCACUGUUCCAUUGCGUUUCCUAUCAUUAUUUUCAGUGUCUUAUUAAUGAAGCCUGCUGUCAGUAUUUUAGGUUACAGUCCGGUUUGGAGGAAAGUUACUGAUACAGCAAGCUAUCAUCAAUGUCAAUCAUUCAACCGUAUCUCCUCACCAUCGAAACAUAAUCUGUUCUGUGGAAGACAGCUUUUUUUUUUUUUGUCUGACGUUGUAGUAUAGCACACAGGUGCUCAAAAGGAGGUAUGCAACCCCUAAGUGGUCCAUGGAUGUACUGCAGAAGGGUCAUGAAAUUUCUUGGUUGCUUAGACAAUAUUUAAUGUUUUAAUUAAAUCUCAGUACAUUAUGGUCAACCUAACAUCUUGUAACAAAUGGAUAAAUUGCAGUUGAUGUAUUUGACUUUUGGUCAAAUCCCUCCAUUAGUUUGUUCAUGGCCUAGAAACACUGAAGACCCCUGGUGUUGAAACCCCAUAAAGUUGCGGCAGUAAUAUCAUGUGUUAUAAACUUAGCAUGUUAACAACAUGGAUCUGUCAGUUUUGUUUUCGAUUGUCUCAGGUUUAUUGCCCACAGACAGCGUUCAUCCCUGCCUCAUAGACACUUCGAUGUUAUUACUUAUUACCCCGUGACAGUGUUAUCCAUGUUCUAUUCAGUGUUCUCCACCCCUGAAUGACGACCCUCCACCUUCCCGCAGGUUAAUGUUGUGUAUAAAUCACCAUGUUUUCUCCUGUAAUCUCAGCUCAGUCUCGGGUCUUUCUGGCUGUAGCGCAGCGAUAGCCCCUCAUAUUAUUAGCAACAGCAGUAUAAGGCUGCGGCUGGCUACAGUAUUAGAUUGCUAAUAAGAAGUAAUUUGCCUACACACACGCAUACACAUACACAUACACACACUCAGCCAUCCAGUGCAUCCUUGUGAGACAAUAUUUCACAGGCAAAUCUGCCGAGCGUGCAAUAUCGCUCUUGCAGUUUGGACCUUCCCAUUACCGGGAUAGGCUGGUGAGGGCAGUAAAAACCUAUUACCCCUGCCGCUCCAAUCCCCGUAAUUGACUGCACAUCUCUAGCGUUUGCCAGGCACAAGCCCCUCCAACCAGAACAUCUGUCAGAGUUCUGUGGCAGCGGCCAGCUGGAUGGUGAGUUCCAGGCGCUCCUGCUGCAGUGGUGGUGGAGGAUGAUGGAUAGAUGGUACAUCAACUGCUCUACGCUCUACAAUGUGUGAUUCACAAAGCGGCGGAAUCUUUUUCAAGGCUCAGUCAAGUGGUUCUGACAAGACUUUCCUGUAGUUAGUCAGAAUGUUCCAAGACCAAAAAUCCAGAAAAUCAUCCGAUGGAGUUCAAUCUGUGAGAAAGCAUGACAACGGCAACAAUUGUCACCCCAAGAGGAACCACAUACUUGGCGCCUCCAAGGGGCGGCCUGUUGAAGCACAUCUGCUGUUACGCAAGAAUUUACACAAGUGUGGGACCUGUGCAUUCAUCUACCAUAAAACCAAUGGAAGAAUCAUCACCGUGCCGAGACUUUUCCCUGCACUGCAGACCUGUGAGCACUGCAGAGGGUGACAGUGGGACAGUGUCAGUUUUCAGCCAGCGUCACAUGUCUCCACCGUCUGGCCUGACACGUCGGCAGGUGCAAAGGAACGAUUAAAUCGGAAGGUACCAGAACCUACCAUGAUGGAGUAAACCAGCGCCACGAUGCUGACGGGCCACACUGGGCAGAAGCAAGAGAAGAUGACCAGCAGCAGGUAAUCCUUGGGCAUCGGGGUCUCCUGCAC
Cynoglossus semilaevis (tongue sole) is the source of this 2949-nucleotide long non-coding RNA. RefSeq lists it as uncharacterized. The record is from RefSeq and is a predicted model, not a curated record. Lineage: Eukaryota; Metazoa; Chordata; Actinopteri; Pleuronectiformes; Cynoglossidae. The transcript is spliced from 7 exons.